RNAcentral lists this ribosomal RNA (550 nucleotides) under uncultured bacterium. RNAcentral's name for it is "bacterial SSU rRNA". It matches the Rfam family "Bacterial small subunit ribosomal RNA", at positions 777 to 1325 of the family's 1533-position model. The record is from RNAcentral.
AAUAGAUACCCAGGUAGUCCACGCCGUAAACGAUGAGUGCUAAGUGUUGGGGGGUUUCCGCCCCUCAGUGCUGCAGCUAACGCAUUAAGCACUCCGCCUGGGGAGUACGGUCGCAAGACUGAAACUCAAAGGAAUUGACGGGGGCCCGCACAAGCGGUGGAGCAUGUGGUUUAAUUCGAAGCAACGCGAAGAACCUUACCAGGUCUUGACAUCCCGGUGACCACUAUGGAGACAUAGUUUCCCCUUCGGGGGCAACGGUGACAGGUGGUGCAUGGUUGUCGUCAGCUCGUGUCGUGAGAUGUUGGGUUAAGUCCCGCAACGAGCGCAACCCUUAUUCUUAGUUGCCAUCAUUCCGUUGGGCACUCUAAGGAGACUGCCGGUGAUAAACCGGAGGAAGGUGGGGAUGACGUCAAAUCAUCAUGCCCCUUAUGACCUGGGCUACACACGUGCUACAAUGGACGGUACAAACGGUUGCCAACCCGCGAGGGGGAGCUAAUCCGAUAAAACCGUUCUCAGUUCGGAUUGUAGGCUGCAACUCGCCUACAUGAAC